RNAcentral lists this ribosomal RNA (491 nucleotides) under uncultured bacterium. Its description in RNAcentral is "partial 16S ribosomal RNA". It matches the Rfam family "Bacterial small subunit ribosomal RNA", at positions 29 to 506 of the family's 1533-position model. The record is from RNAcentral.
AGUGAACGCUGGCGGUAGGCCUAACACAUGCAAGUCGAACGGCAGCACAGUAAGAGCUUGCUCUUACGGGUGGCGAGUGGCGGACGGGUGAGGAAUACAUCGGAAUCUACUUUUUCGUGGGGGAUAACGUAGGGAAACUUACGCUAAUACCGCAUACGACCUACGGGUGAAAGCAGGGGAUCUUCGGACCUUGCGCGAUUGAAUGAGCCGAUGUCGGAUUAGCUAGUUGGCGGGGUAAAGGCCCACCAAGGCGACGAUCCGUAGCUGGUCUGAGAGGAUGAUCAGCCACACUGGAAGUAGGACACGGUCCAGACUCCUACGGGAGGCAGCAGUGGGAAAUAUUGGAAAAGGGGCGAAAGCCUGGUCCAGCCAUACCGGGGGGGUGAAGAAGGCCUUCGGGUUGUAAAGCCCUUUUGUUGGGAAAGAAAAGCAGCAGGUUAAUACCCCGCUGUUCUGACGGUACCAAAAGAAUAAGCACCGGCUAAUUUCGU